UUAAGUUAAUAAGGGCGCACGGUGGAUGCCUUGGCACUAGAAGCCGAUGAAGGACGUGACUAACGACGAAAUGCUUUGGGGAGCUGUAAGUGAGCAAUGAUCCAGAGAUGUCCGAAUGGGGGAACCCGGCAGGUAAUGCCUGUCACUCAUUACUGUUAAGGUAAUGUAGAGGAAGACGCAGUGAACUGAAACAUCUAAGUAGCUGUAGGAAGAGAAAGCAAAAGCGAUUGCCUUAGUAGCGGCGAGCGAAACGGCAAGAGGGCAAACCGAAGAGUUUACUCUUCGGGGUUGUAGGACUGCAACGUGGACUUAAAGAUUAUAGAAGAACUACCUGGGAAGGUAGGCCAAAGAGAGUAAUAGCCUCGUAUUCGAAAUAGUCUUUAUACCUAGCAGUAUCCUGAGUACGGCGAGACACGAGAAAUCUCGUCGGAAUCUGGGAGGACCAUCUCCCAACCCUAAAUACUCUCUAGUGACCGAUAGUGAACCAGUACCGUGAGGGAAAGGUGAAAAGCACCCCGGGAGGGGAGUGAAAUAGAACCUGAAACCGUGUGCCUACAACAAGUUCGAGCCCGUUAAUGGGUGAGAGCGUGCCUUUUGUAGAAUGAACCGGCGAGUUACGAUAUGAUGCGAGGUUAAGUUGAAGAGACGGAGCCGUAGGGAAACCGAGUCUUAAUAGGGCGCAUUAGUAUCAUGUCGUAGACCCGAAACCAUGUGACCUACCCAUGAGCAGGUUGAAGGUGAGGUAAAACUCACUGGAGGACCGAACCAGGGCACGUUGAAAAGUGCUUGGAUGACUUGUGGGUAGCGGAGAAAUUCCAAACGAACUUGGAGAUAGCUGGUUCUCUCCGAAAUAGCUUUAGGGCUAGCGUCGAUGUUAAGUCUCUUGGAGGUAGAGCACUGUUUGGGUGAGGGGUCCAUCCCGGAUUACUAAUCUCAGAUAAACUCCGAAUGCCAAUGAGAUAUAAUCGGCAGUCAGACUGCGAGUGCUAAGAUCCGUAGUCGAAAGGGAAACAGCCCAGACCACCAGCUAAGGUCCCAAAAUAUAUGUUAAGUGGAAAAGGAUGUGGGGUUGCACAGACAACUAGGAUGUUAGCUUAGAAGCAGCUAUUCAUUCAAAGAGUGCGUAAUAGCUCACUAGUCGAGUGACCCUGCGCCGAAAAUGUACCGGGGCUAAAACAUAUUACCGAAGCUGUGGAUACCUUUAUAGGUAUGGUAGGAGAGCGUUCUAUGUGCGAAGAAGGUGUACCGUGAGGAGUGCUGGAGCGCAUAGAAGUGAGAAUGCCGGUAUGAGUAGCGAAAGACAGGUGAGAAUCCUGUCCACCGUAAGACUAAGGUUUCCAGGGGAAGGCUCGUCCGCCCUGGGUUAGUCGGGACCUAAGGAGAGACCGAAAGGUGUAUCCGAUGGACAACAGGUUGAUAUUCCUGUACUAGAGUAUAUAGUGAUGGAGGGACGCAGUAGGCUAACUAAACCAGACGAUUGGAAGUGUCUGGCCAAGCAGUGAGGUGUGAUAUGAGUCAAAUGCUUAUAUCUUUAACAUUGAGCUGUGAUGGGGAGCGAAGUUUAGUAGCGAAGUUAGUGAUGUCACACUGCCGAGAAAAGCUUCUAGCGUUAAUUAUACUCUACCCGUACCGCAAACCGACACAGGUAGUCGAGGCGAGUAGCCUCAGGUGAGCGAGAGAACUCUCGUUAAGGAACUCGGCAAAAUGGCCCCGUAACUUCGGGAGAAGGGGCGCUGACUGAUGGUCAGCCGCAGUGAAUAGGCCCAAGCAACUGUUUAUCAAAAACACAGCUCUCUGCUAAAUCGUAAGAUGAUGUAUAGGGGGUGACGCCUGCCCGGUGCUGGAAGGUUAAGAGGAGUGCUUAGCGUAAGCGAAGGCAUGAAUUGAAGCCCCAGUAAACGGCGGCCGUAACUAUAACGGUCCUAAGGUAGCGAAAUUCCUUGUCGGGUAAGUUCCGACCCGCACGAAAGGCGUAAUGAUUUGGGCACUGUCUCAACGAGAGACUCGGUGAAAUUUUAGUACCUGUGAAGAUGCAGGUUACCCGCGACAGGACGGAAAGACCCCAUGGAGCUUUACUGCAGUUUGAUAUUGAGUAUCUGUACCACAUGUACAGGAUAGGUAGGAGCCUAUGACCUCGGGACGCCAGUUUCGAGUGAGGCGUUGUUGGGAUACUACCCUUGUGUUAUGGCUACUCUAACCCAGAUAGGUUAUCCCUAUCGGAGACAGUGUCUGACGGGCAGUUUGACUGGGGCGGUCGCCUCCUAAAAGGUAACGGAGGCGCCCAAAGGUUCCCUCAGAAUGGUUGGAAAUCAUUCGCAGAGUGUAAAGGUAUAAGGGAGCUUGACUGCGAGAGCUACAACUCGAGCAGGGACGAAAGUCGGGCUUAGUGAUCCGGUGGUUCCGUAUGGAAGGGCCAUCGCUCAACGGAUAAAAGCUACCCUGGGGAUAACAGGCUUAUCUCCCCCAAGAGUUCACAUCGACGGGGAGGUUUGGCACCUCGAUGUCGGCUCGUCGCAUCCUGGGGCUGUAGUCGGUCCCAAGGGUUGGGCUGUUCGCCCAUUAAAGCGGCACGCGAGCUGGGUUCAGAACGUCGUGAGACAGUUCGGUCCCUAUCCGUCGCGGGCGUAGGAAAUUUGAGAGGAUCUGCUCCUAGUACGAGAGGACCAGAGUGGACUUACCGCUGGUGUACCAGUUGUUCUGCCAAGAGCAUCGCUGGGUAGCUAUGUAGGGAAGGGAUAAACGCUGAAAGCAUCUAAGUGUGAAGCCCACCUCAAGAUGAGAUUUCCCAUGAUUUUAUAUCAGUAAGAGCCCUGAGAGAUGAUCAGGUUGAUAGGUUAGAAGUGGAAGUGUGGUGACACAUGUAGCGGACUAAUACUAAUAGCUCGAGGACUUAUCCAA
This 2898-nucleotide ribosomal RNA is filed under the name Streptococcus thermophilus. RNAcentral describes it as "bacterial LSU rRNA". It matches the Rfam family "Bacterial large subunit ribosomal RNA". Lineage: Bacteria; Bacillati; Bacillota; Bacilli; Lactobacillales; Streptococcaceae. The record is from RNAcentral.